This 253-nucleotide ribosomal RNA is filed under the name uncultured bacterium. RNAcentral's name for it is "partial 16S ribosomal RNA". It matches the Rfam family "Bacterial small subunit ribosomal RNA", at positions 524 to 776 of the family's 1533-position model. The record is from RNAcentral.
UACGUAGGGCGCAAGCGUUGUCCGGAAUUAUUGGGCGUAAAGAGCUCGUAGGCGGCCUGUUGCGUCCGCUGUGAAAACCCGGGGCUUAACCCCGGGCUUGCAGUGGAUACGGGCAGGCUGGAGGCAGGCAGGGGAGAACGGAAUUCCCGGUGUAGCGGUGAAAUGCGCAGAUAUCGGGAGGAACACCGGUGGCGAAGGCGGUUCUCUGGGCCUGUACUGACGCUGAGGCACGAAAGCGUGGGGAGCAAACAGG